Long non-coding RNA from Daphnia pulicaria, 388 nucleotides. RefSeq lists it as uncharacterized. The record is from RefSeq and is a predicted model, not a curated record. The transcript has 2 exons. NCBI's taxonomy places the organism in Eukaryota, Metazoa, Arthropoda, Branchiopoda, Diplostraca, Daphniidae.
CAUUAGAUUGGUCAUUCAUAUCUUCAGCUUCCUCUUCAUCAUCUGACUGUUCUUCAUCAGAUGUCAAAACUUGCUGUGCUCUACUACUGGAUUUAAACAUCGACAGCAGCUGUGUGUAAGUUACCUCCACCACGAGUCGAUUUGUUACCACGCGAACCGUGGUUUUUGUAAUUGCCACGUUUAGGCCCUCCUCGUCGUCCACGUCCCAUUUUAAGAACAAAAUAACGUUCGAAUUUAAUUUAUCUGAAAUCAAAACUCAAACUCAAAUGCACGUGUUAAUGAAAACUUUGAUUGCAGACGUCCAAAGUUGCAAGAACAACACAGUUGAUCAAUUACAAUUUAACAGUGUGCUGCCAAAAAUGUAACAAAAAUAUAUUUAUUUAAAUAU